UGGGGAAUCUUGCGCAAUGGGCGAAAGCCUGAUGCAGCGACGCCGCGUGGGGAUGAAGGCCCUAGGGUCGUAAACCCCUUUCAGCAGGGACGAAAAUGACGGUACCUGCAGAAGAAGCCCCGGCCAACUACGUGCCAGCAGCCGCGGUAAGACGUAGGGGGCGAGCGUUGUCCGGAUUUAUUGGGCGUAAAGAGCUCGUAGGCGGUUGCGUAAGUCGGAUGUGAAAACUCAGGGCUCAACCCUGAGACGCCAUCCGAUACUGCGCUGACUUGAAUCCAGUAGGGGAGUGCGGAAUUCCUGGUGUAGCGGUGAAAUGCGCAGAUAUCAGGAGGAACACCCAUGGCGAAGGCAGCACUCUGGGCUGGUAUUGACGCUGAGGAGCGAAAGCAUGGGUAGCGAACAGGAUUAGAUACCCAAGUAGUCCCUGAGCGGGCUGGCAAGGCGCAU
RNAcentral lists this ribosomal RNA (447 nucleotides) under uncultured bacterium. RNAcentral's name for it is "bacterial SSU rRNA". It matches the Rfam family "Bacterial small subunit ribosomal RNA", at positions 355 to 825 of the family's 1533-position model. The record is from RNAcentral.